UACGUAGGGGGCGAGCGUUGUCCGGAUUUAUUGGGCGUAAAGAGCGUGUAGGCGGCCAGGUAGGUCUGCUGUGAAAACUCGAGGCUCAACCUCGAGACGUCGGCGGAAACCAUCUGGCUAGAGUCCGGAAGAGGAGAGUGGAAUUCCUGGUGUAGCGGUGAAAUGCGCAGAUAUCAGGAAGAACACCCGUGGCGAAGGCGGCUCUCUGGGACGGUACUGACGCUGAGGAGCGAAAGCCAGGGGAGCAAACGGG
RNAcentral lists this ribosomal RNA (253 nucleotides) under uncultured bacterium. RNAcentral's name for it is "partial 16S ribosomal RNA". It matches the Rfam family "Bacterial small subunit ribosomal RNA", at positions 524 to 776 of the family's 1533-position model. The record is from RNAcentral.